UUAGCUAGACGUUAUACUUCCUUGUUUGAUUUUUCACACCGUGCUACAGAAAUUUAUUUCGAUGAAAGAUAUUCGUCUAGUUUCUGUUUGGUUAUCGUGGAGGAGAACUGUUGUCAGUGACAAGUGCAACUUUGUAAUAACUACCUAUCAGUCAUAAGCUUGGAUUUGGUGAUGUUUGUAUUAUCUUAAGUUGAAGGGGUGAAUAGGAAAACAGUGAAAAUUUAUGGAGAAGAAGCUAUUGGGAUGUCUGAGGUUCAUACUAAUUCAAACUUCAUUCAAUAAUAUUUGAUGUUAGACCCUGUAGUUGUGAACUUCAAUCAAUCGUGUCUGAUAUUAGCCCCUCGUAGUUACGAACUUCAGUCAAUCGUAUGUGAUAACAGCCCCUCACAGUUGCAAACUUGGGUUCAUCGUGUCUGAUAUGAUCAGCCCUCAUGCAGUUGCGAACAUCAGUCUAAUCGUGUCUGAUAUCAGCCCCAUGCAGUUGAGAGCAUCAGUCAAUCGUGCCUGAUAUCAGCGCCUUUGCAGUUGCAAACUUCAGUUUGUCAUGUCUGAUGUUAGUUCCCUCACAAAUGCAAAUUUCAGUCCACCGUGUCUGAUAUCAGCCCCCUUGCAGUUGCAAACUUCAGUCAAUCGUGUCUGAUAUCAGCCCCUUCGCAGUUGCAAACUUCAGUCCAUCAUGUCUAAUUGAUACAAGAAUAAUGGUCGCCUUAGCUUUCGACGACAUCAUUCAAAGUCACUAUGUGAAGAAUCAAACUUUGGUCGCAUGGAGGGCACGGGAUCAUACUUGGAGGGGACGUUUUGAGCCUACCAUUGAUCAAACCCAAGUGUGAAAGAUUGCUUGGAGCCUUGAAGACUUAAGGACUCUCGGGUUUGGACCACCUUUGUUGGUUCACGGUUUUGGUAUCCUUUAUUAAGGGCAUUUUGGUCACUUAGCCUUAAGGGCAUUUUGGACAAUUCAUAUUGUUUUCCAACACACCAAGGCCACCCUUGGUCAUUAAGGGUAGUGUAGUCUUUUUUGCCUUCUUUUCUAAUAUACUAUAAGUAGGAUUUUUUUAGGUCUUCUCUCAUUAGUUUAUGAAAGAUGAAAGAUUGAAGCAUUAAAAAUUCUCUCUCUUGAGAGUAGAACACUUAGUCUUAGUUAGGGCUUGGAAAAGUUAGUAUUGAUCUUUGCUUGGAAACGGUGGAUCUUGAGGUGAGUUGAUUCCCUUGNNN
This 1212-nucleotide long non-coding RNA is filed under the name Capsicum annuum. RNAcentral's name for it is "long non-coding RNA (CANN_LNC021590)". Lineage: Eukaryota; Viridiplantae; Streptophyta; Magnoliopsida; Solanales; Solanaceae. The record is from RNAcentral.